Boleophthalmus pectinirostris (great blue-spotted mudskipper) is the source of this 4633-nucleotide long non-coding RNA. RefSeq lists it as uncharacterized. NCBI's taxonomy places the organism in Eukaryota, Metazoa, Chordata, Actinopteri, Gobiiformes, Gobiidae. The transcript is spliced from 4 exons. The record is from RefSeq and is a predicted model, not a curated record.
CUUCAGUGACUUGUCCCAGCUAAACCACGGCACCGACAACAGCGGGGAGGGUCUCAUUUUGAAGCUAAGAGUGUGAGGAAAAGAGCGCCAAGAGAAACGGAAAUCAGAGAGGAAGAAGGCUCGGAAAGGCAACAAGGAAUUAUUUUAUGGAAAAAACAACUUGAUAUUUUUUUUCUGUGAAUUAUUACGGACUUAUUGAGUACAACUUUUCAUAGAUUGAACGCGUUUUGGACCGACAGAACCGGCUCAAAUGCUAACUGCUCACUCCUUCUGAGUGAACAAAGAGCCUCCACACUGAAGGCGCCCAGGGAUUACAUCACAUGCCCCACCACAAGUGUGCACAGUGCCCUACUGCCGGUCAGUUUAAUGGACCAAUGAAAGUCUCCUCCUCUAUCCACAGUCACUUGUUGGGCCUUAUAAAGGUGUCAGUGACAGCUUCACAGACUGUACUCUCCUGCACAUUGAGGACCUGGACUUCCUCGAGUGGCUCCUGUCUGUGUGGAAUCUGCUGCAGUCUGAACAUCUGUCUCCAAACAACAUCUUCACUUCUGACGAACAAUGAAGGCAAGCAGAGAGAUCAACAUCCGUGUCACAACACUGAGCUGUCUUUCUGGUGCGAGGGAGUUUCCAGAGCUCAACUCCAUCGAUGAUCUGAAAAACAAUUAUGAUUAUAGAGAAAAUCCUUUUCCUAAACAUGGCUUCGGUCUGCUCCAAGCACUUGCGUACUCAGUUAAUAUCGACAAUGAUGACAAUGUCAAUCCGGAUGAAACUUAUUACCCAGAACAACAUUUUGGUUCCCAUCCUUACAAUAACGAAGAAAAUUUGCUGGACCCCGUCCCUGAAGGUUGCACUUACUGCACUAUGGGUAAUCAUACGAGUAAUGACACAGACCCCAUUAUGAACAGAGCUCGCAUUAUCCUUUGUGUAAACGAAACAAGCUGUCAGAUCCACCAAGUGUAUUUCACCCAACAUUAUAAAUGGGACGAGAGCAGGCCCCAAAAUACUGAGUAUGACCCAAACCACACCUAUAAAAUAAGCCCUCAGCUGCUCAAAGAACUCCGAACGUUUUCGUUUGAUGAAUGGAAGGAAAAAUGGAUGAAGUGGUUCCCUGAAGAGGUUGAGGAACCGGUACAAGCAGAGCAUAGAGAAUAGGCAGUUAAAUAAGAUUAUAAGAAGAUGCUCCUCCAGAGCUGCUUACAUCAUUGAUCAAACAUUUUAAAAGGAUGAACUGCAGUUAUGGCACUGCACUUUCCACAUCUGAGUGGCAAAGAGAUUUCAUAAACAUCAUAUUUUGUGCAUUUUUUACUUAUUUAAUCAAUGAAACAGAUUAAUAUAGCCCACCCCCACCCAUGUAAUUAAUAAUACUAAUGAGGUUCCAUUCUCCAUAUGAAAUUAUACAAAACUCUAUGUCAGAAUAAUUUUAUUAUCCCAUAUUUGCUAAAUACUUGUGUGAUAUUCUAUGCCUAUGAGUUAACCAUUUAUGUAACUACAAUUCUUUGAUUUAUAAUGUACCAAUCACUUAUAUAUUUAUAUAUAUAUAUUUCUCAAGUGUUUUGUGUAAAGUGUGAAGUUUUGACUCCUUGUAUAAAAAUUAAAAUGUAAAUUAGUUUGAGAUGUGGUAAGAACCUUUUAACUCUGAAAAUUCAAGUUUUAGUAGAAAUUUCUACAUGCAAAAAGAAUAAUGCAGACCUUUAAAUGCAGAGAAAAAGCAGUAUGUUACUCUGAGACAUUUGGACAUUUGGAAAGGUGUUGGAAAUAUGUGAAUACAUUUUAAUCAUAAUCCAAUAGUUUUAUUCAGCAAUCAAGUAUUUUUUUUAGGUUAUUUUGUGUUCAUCUCAAAUUUAAAAUCCACCACCUGUAAUGUAAAUGAUGCACUUUCAUUGUUAGGUAAUGAUGUUGGAUUUUAUUUUGAUUUUCUGUUGGGGGAUUUUACUUUCUAUAGAGGCUUUGCACCGUUCACGUGACCCGUAUAGCAACAGUACCUACGCCGCCAUGACACCGGGCAACACUAUGUCAUUGACUUCAGCAGCAUCGGAGAAACAUGGGCAGGUUUUGUUGUGUAUUUGGUUGUUCUAGACCAGGGGUGGGCAAACUUUUUGGCAUGGGGGCCACAUAGGGUUCUAAAAUUUGACUGAAGGGCCGGACAGAAGACGGGACAUGACGUGUUCAGAACCCGGCUCCAUUGCACUCGUAUUUACUCUCAUGUAGGACGUAUUCUGCACAACGCACUGCAAGUUUUAGACAUGUAAGUUCCAGAAUUCAUGAAAAGUGAAAUGAGGUCUGCCCCACUGCACACCAAAGACAAACAUGUGUCCCGAGCACUCAGAGUCUAAGUGCUCAGGACACUAUGUCUAUGUCAUUAACCAUUCUAACGCGCAGUUUAAACACACCUUCAAGACUUUCUAAUACAGUGAGUAUGAAUUUUAUAACUUUGUUUUUAAAAGAUUUAAAGCGGAAACAGUGCAGUGUUAUGUCUUGAACACUUUUACCUCAUUCAUGGUUCCGAAUACACCGCCCGAAAUGACUCCUGUCAAUUCUUUCCCAUAAAGCAUUGCGGCCAACAGAAGCCGCCGCACCUCAAUGUAUAUAUAGUGCGCCAUCUACCGGGAAACGCCGGAAAUGCAAGAAAGAUAAAACAGCAGUACGGUUUAUUUAUUAUAAUUUGGUCAAGUUCUGUGGGUCAGUUUGAAUGGCUGCAUAAGGUCACCGGGCACUAAAUAACUGGAUACAGUAUUGCUGCUUGUAACUGCCUCCAGUUGACGUAGUGUCACUCACUGGAACUUCAGCAGAAAAAAUCCCAUGGGCCGAGACAAGACUUUUUCUCAUAGAGGCAAUGUAAUCACAAACUGCUCGUGUUCGUCUGACAGGUCAUUUACAGCUUUCAAAAAUAUCGGAUUUGUUGGCGAUUUUUACCUAUUUUUAGAUCAUAAACUUUCUCAGCUCAAAAUCCUUCAGUUGUCUUAAAAAAAACAGUUUAAAUUCGUUAGCUUCGGCUACGCUCUGCUCCGCUUUAGCUCCUCUCGCUCUGAUUGGUCAAAGCGAUCACAUGACACACGAGCCCGCGCACCGUGCGUGUACCCGCGGGAGAAAAGAGCACUAGUGCGCAUGCUCGGUCGGCCCACAGCCGCCGGAAGUACCAUGCUAGACUAAUCUGGGAUCAUGCGCCAUUGACCUCAGCACAUUAAUUUGAAUGGGCGGCCAUUUUGGAAUAUGUUGGGCUUGACAAUGGCUCAUACCGCCCUUUUCUUAGCAAAUAUAACAGGUGUUUACACCUCUGACCGCGCCACAUUAGUGGAAGUGAUACGUGGUGCAUAGACCACCGUCACACAGAGUAGUUGCAGUGCACUUACUUUGUAAAACAUGUUACCAAAUAUGAUAUAGAGCAGCGCCAAGAUUUAAUUUGUACACAUAAAUUGUAGACUUAGUGCAGUCUUAUGUCUUUAACACUUCUACCUCAUUCAUGGUCCGAAUACGCCGCCUGAAAAUGACUCCUGUGAAUACUUUCCCAUAAAGCAUUGCGGCCAACAGAAGCCGCCGCACCUCAAUGUAUAUAUAGUGCGCCGUCUACUGGGAAACGCCGGAAAUGCAGGAAAAAUAAAACAUUAACAAGGUUUAUUAUUAUUAUUUAUUCAAGUUCGGCGGGCCGGAUUAAAAGGUUUAAAGGGCCGUAGUUUGCCCAUCCCUGUUCUAGACGCUCUGAAAGGGAUAAAACGAUUAGUUUCUUCACUGUUCCUCUGGAAAUGGCUCAUCAGGAUCAAACAAGGGAAUUAUCGGGAAAAAAAUGGGAAUUAUGGCUAGAGAACAUAAACCACGAAGAGAUUUCCAAUGGUCCCAUCAAGACACUCGAAGUUUCAUCAAGGUAUUUGCUAUUUAAAUAGUUUCAUAGCUUAUUUAAUGAGAGAAGCACAUUUACUGAACUAAAAUGUAAAAAGAAAACAUUUGCAGUGUGAGUGGCAGUAGAAACUGGAUCUUCCAGCGCACAUAUAAACAUGUCACUCAUCGUAGGACCCAUGUUUUCUUUAUUGUCUUGCUUAACCACAACUAUGUCUUCUAGAAUUAAUCACUUUUUGCGAGCGGAUCUUUCUAAUGUUCGCGAGGAUCUUUUUAUGACCGAUUCUUUCGAGGUUCGGCUCACAGACUCUUCGACUCGUGCGUCAUGUUGAUCACAGGAGCCCAGUGUGGGUUCGUUAAAUCGUAAACUAGUGCGGGUUUUCCUGGAUAAAUUAAUGAAAUUUUUGUGGAAAUCUCUUCGCGGUUUAUUUUUGCUAGCCAUAAUCCGUGUCUUUUUUUUCGAUAAUUCCCUUGUUUGAUCCUGAUGAGUCAUUUCCAGAGGAACAGUGAAGAAACGAAUCAUUUUAUCCAUUUCAGAGCAUCUAGAACAACCAAAUACACAACAAACCCUGUCCAUGUUUCUCCGAUGCUGCUGAAGUCAAUGACAUAGUGUGCCCGGUGUCAUGGCGGCGUAGUUACCGUUGCUAUAGGGGCCACGUGACGGUGCAAAGCCUCUAUUCAGUUCUUUCCUAAAAUCUGCUUCAUGUAAUAAAAGUCAAGUGUGUUUUAUGUUUAUGUCACCACUGCAUGUAGAUUAUGUGGAAUGUUCUGUGAUUGCAAUAAAAAGACAAAGACAUGAUUA